Molecule: ribosomal RNA, 253 nt
Filed under: uncultured bacterium
Lineage: Bacteria
Description: partial 16S ribosomal RNA
Rfam family: Bacterial small subunit ribosomal RNA
Source: RNAcentral
UACAGAGGUCUCAAGCGUUGUUCGGAUUCAUUGGGCGUAAAGGGUGCGUAGGCGGCGCGGUAAGUCGGGUGUGAAAUCUCGGAGCUUAACUCCGAAACUGCAUUCGAUACUGCCGUGCUUGAGGACUGGAGAGGAGACUGGAAUUUACGGUGUAGCGGUGAAAUGCGUAGAUAUCGUAAGGAAGACCAGUGGCGAAGGCGAGUUCCUGGACAGUUACUGACACUGAGGCACGAAGGCCAGGGGAGCAAACGGG